AGCAGCGUGGCUUAGUGAAUAGAGCACAGGACUGGGAGUCAGGUGACCUGGGUUCUACUCCCAGCUCGGCCA
Molecule: transfer RNA, 72 nt
Filed under: Ornithorhynchus anatinus (platypus)
Lineage: Eukaryota; Metazoa; Chordata; Mammalia; Monotremata; Ornithorhynchidae
Rfam family: tRNA
About the family: Transfer RNA (tRNA) molecules are approximately 80 nucleotides in length. Their secondary structure includes four short double-helical elements and three loops (D, anti-codon, and T loops). Further hydrogen bonds mediate the characteristic L-shaped molecular structure. tRNAs have two regions of fundamental functional importance: the anti-codon, which is responsible for specific mRNA codon recognition, and the 3' end, to which the tRNAs corresponding amino acid is attached (by aminoacyl-tRNA synthetases). tRNAs cope with the degeneracy of the genetic code in two manners: having more than one tRNA (with a specific anti-codon) for a particular amino acid; and 'wobble' base-pairing, i.e. permitting non-standard base-pairing at the 3rd anti-codon position.
Source: Rfam by way of RNAcentral